Long non-coding RNA from Orcinus orca (killer whale), 465 nucleotides. RefSeq lists it as uncharacterized. Lineage: Eukaryota; Metazoa; Chordata; Mammalia; Artiodactyla; Delphinidae. The record is from RefSeq and is a predicted model, not a curated record. The transcript has 3 exons.
GCUGCUGCCCAAGGAGGGUCCGGAGCGGCUUCUCCUGCCCCGGCGAUGCAUGUGGAUGAGGUUGAGGAUGACACUGAAGUUGCAGGCGAGCACCGCGAUGAUGAGCAGUAGCAGCAAGGUGGCGUAAAGCCGCAGCACGUGGAACAGCGAGAUGGAGUUCCCGCGGCCGGCGCUGCGCCCCGAGUCCCCCAGCCAGCGGCGCACCAGCAGCGCCAGCGCGAUGAGGUUCCCCAGCACCCCGGCCGAGAACAUCACGGAGCUGAUGGCUGGGCUUUCGCCGGAGGGGAGCCACUGUCGAGUAUCGCAGUUCUCUGGCCAGGAGUCAUUGGAGCAUUUUCAGGAAAACACACCAAGAAGGCGGGUCCAGAGUUAGGAGGAAGUGAAAAGCAAGCCUGUGCAUUCAAGGAACCAAAACACGCUCACACCAAGCUGCCUGUUGCACUGUCGUUUUGAUUCGGUUCCCAG